Molecule: long non-coding RNA, 471 nt
Organism: Clupea harengus (Atlantic herring)
Lineage: Eukaryota; Metazoa; Chordata; Actinopteri; Clupeiformes; Clupeidae
Source: Ensembl
AAAUCAGACUGGUUGGGAAGUGUUCUAACCACAUUAUUUAUUUGUCUAGAAAGACGUAUAAUAACUUAGUACGAAGGAAAGGAGUCUAAUAACUUGGUACGAAGGAAAGGAGUCGAAUAACUUGGUACGAAGGAAAGGAGUCUAAUAACUUGGUACGAAGGAAAGGAGUCUAAUAACUUGGUACGAAGGAAAGGAGUCUAAUAACUUGGUACGAAGGAAAGGAGUCGAAUAACUUGGUAAGCAAGACUUCCCAUUGGGGCUCACAGAUUACUCCAUUGCUUUAACCUGGACAAAUUACCUGGACAAUCACCACCUAACCUAUCAACGGGAUUGAGGGGCAAAGAGGAGGGGUAUAAGAAGAGGAAGCUGUAGAAUUACUGGGUGCCCGGUGGGGACCGCGAAACGGUGACGGACGGACGGACGGACAAACGAACGAACGAACGAACGAACCGAAUUGGGCUGCAACUAGAA